UACAGAGGUCUCAAGCGUUGUUCGGAUUCAUUGGGCGUAAAGGGUGCGUAGGUGGCGGGGUUAGUCAGGUGUGAAAUCUCGGGGCUCAACCCCGAAACUGCACUUGAUACUGCCUUGCUAGAGUACUGGAGAGGAGAUUGGAAUUUACGGUGUAGCAGUGAAAUGCGUAGAUAUCAGGAGGAACACCGAUGGCGAAGGCAGGUCUCUGGGCUGACACUGACGCUCAUGCACGAAAGCGUGGGGAGCAAACAGG
This 253-nucleotide ribosomal RNA is filed under the name uncultured bacterium. RNAcentral describes it as "partial 16S ribosomal RNA". It matches the Rfam family "Bacterial small subunit ribosomal RNA", at positions 524 to 776 of the family's 1533-position model. The record is from RNAcentral.